RNAcentral lists this ribosomal RNA (402 nucleotides) under uncultured bacterium. Its description in RNAcentral is "bacterial SSU rRNA". It matches the Rfam family "Bacterial small subunit ribosomal RNA", at positions 29 to 416 of the family's 1533-position model. The record is from RNAcentral.
AACGAACGUUAGCGGCGCGCCUAACACAUGCAAGUCGCACGAGAAAGGGCUUCGGCCCCGGUAAAGUGGCGCACGGGUGAGUAACACGUGGGUAACCUGCCCUUGAGCGGGGGAUAACAUUCCGAAAGGAGUGCUAAUACCGCAUGAGACCACGCUCUCGAAAGAGAGAGGGGUAAAAGCUGGCCUCUGUACACAAGCUAGCACUCGAGGAUGGGCCCGCGGGGCAUCAGGUAGUUGGUAGGGUAACGGCCUACCAAGCCUAAGACGCCUAGCUGGUCUGAGAGGAUGAUCAGCCACACUGGAACUGAGACACGGUCCAGACUCCUACGGGAGGCAGCAGUGGGGAAUCUUGCGCAAUGGGCGAAAGCCUGACGCAGCGACGCCGCGUGAGUGAUGAAGGCC